UGCGAUAUAGCUCAGUGGUAGAGCACGUGCUUAGCAUGCUUAAGGUUCUGGGUUCAAUCCCCAAUACCUCCA
RNAcentral lists this transfer RNA (72 nucleotides) under Camelus bactrianus (Bactrian camel). It matches the Rfam family "tRNA". Rfam says of the family: Transfer RNA (tRNA) molecules are approximately 80 nucleotides in length. Their secondary structure includes four short double-helical elements and three loops (D, anti-codon, and T loops). Further hydrogen bonds mediate the characteristic L-shaped molecular structure. tRNAs have two regions of fundamental functional importance: the anti-codon, which is responsible for specific mRNA codon recognition, and the 3' end, to which the tRNAs corresponding amino acid is attached (by aminoacyl-tRNA synthetases). tRNAs cope with the degeneracy of the genetic code in two manners: having more than one tRNA (with a specific anti-codon) for a particular amino acid; and 'wobble' base-pairing, i.e. permitting non-standard base-pairing at the 3rd anti-codon position. The record is from Rfam by way of RNAcentral. Lineage: Eukaryota; Metazoa; Chordata; Mammalia; Artiodactyla; Camelidae. RNAcentral also lists the same sequence under 2 other names.